Molecule: long non-coding RNA, 1714 nt
Organism: Corvus hawaiiensis (hawaiian crow)
Lineage: Eukaryota; Metazoa; Chordata; Aves; Passeriformes; Corvidae
Exons: 11
Source: RefSeq, a predicted model, not a curated record
CCCAGGACAUCCCUGUGGAUAUACCUUCUGUGGAUCUUACGCCCAAAGUUGUCUAUCAAAAGUAAUGAGAAGUUUCCUGGUGAAGCAAAAGAAAUCAAGGAAGACCAGAUACAGGAAACACAAGGGAUGUAUCUACUAAGGAAAACAGUGUAGAGUUGAUUCAAGAUACACAUAGUCAUUUGACUUGGAUCUAUUGAAGGACUUCAAGGACGAAACAUUGUAAUCUGGCAGCAGCACAUCAUGGUGGCUUAUCUUGCUGAAAAGGUAGCACUGGGAAAAAACUGCCUUUCUGCAAUUGAAUAUGUUAAUGUCCAGAUGCUGCAUUUUUCCUGACUUAGCCUUCUUUUUUUUGGAAGGAGACUCACCAUCUGUGUUUGUACAGAAUCUUGCACACAAAAUCCUGAUGUUAGUACAUGCCUGGUAACACACACAUCAGAAGAUAGAAUCUCAUGGAGAAAGCUGCAUACCUGCUUGAACCGUAUGCAAUGAUGACGUGAUCCUGAGGGAGCAUGCCUGCACAGUAGCCAACUACUUGAAACCUGCAACAAACCCACAGCUGACUCUUCAUGGAAUUUAUAGCUUCCAGUCCCAGUAAAGGAUGGAGAAACCAUAGCGAGAGGACAAGACAAGACCUUGGGUUGAUUGUUUCUUAAUAUUUCUGUAUGUUCUCUACCAUGGAUGGCUUCAGUUAUUUUAUGUCACGAGUAUUGGUUUUGCUGUGCCAUAAACUCAAGACAAGAGCCAUAAUGCCUGUAUGCACUGCCAUAGCAUUGGGAGGCACCUGGUGUUAAUUGCGGUCACAGAGAAAGAUUUGAAUGGUCUUGAGACUGGAGUAACAGAAUGAUAGUAUGAAGUGCAAGAGUUUGAAAAAAGACAGUGUUACAUUCAAUAAUAAAAAGGGUGACUGAGUGAAUGGGUGACAAAGAUUGGAGAAUGCUACAGGGAGUGCAAUGCACCAGCAUGAGAAAACAGUAGAGGAGCCUGAUACGAUCCUGCAGUUUGUCCUCAGGAAAAUGUCCCUCAGGUUUUAGUGGAUCAGUGUGCAUUGUGACCCUGGAAAACUCAGGGGGACCAAAACCAAAAACUGGUCAGAAAACUGGAAGGAAAAAUAUCGUGACACAGCAUUCCAAUGUGUUUAUGAAGAGACCACACUCCCAGCCCCCCUUACCAUGGCAAAUUGUUUUUAUCCUGAAUGUGCUGAUUAGCAGGCUGCUUUGUGAUCAGAAGACAUCUCCGUUGCUGUUUGAUGGGCAGAGGUUUUUAACCUGUACAACUCAUGAUUGCAAACCAAAAUGCAUGCCAUGGUGUUGCAGAAGCCUGGAAGAUACGGGGAUAUAUCUCAAACAUGGUUAACUGGAUAGCUGUGGGGCCAACCAAGGAUUGUUGGUAAGAACAUGCUGUGAGAAAGAACAGGAUGUGGCUGCAGAAGGAGACAUACACAGCAAGGGCAGAACUUACGCAGCAAAUGUCCUUGUUCUGGCUCCUGGAGAUAAGCACAACACAGCACAGCACAGCAGGAAUGAGGCCAUAAUGUGGCCAUGGACUGUAGGGGGGAUCAGGACCACCCAAGACCCCCAAAGCCCCUGACCCAUUUCCAGAAAGGUCUGAAAGAGUGAACUGCUCAUGAGAACUGAUUUGCAUAGAAAGAGAGAAAUUUAUCUCCAGGGUAGGGAAAACUUAUCUGUAAAAAGGCACCACCACCAAUCUGGGUGUA